This is a non-coding RNA of Pelobates cultripes (western spadefoot toad), 481 nucleotides long. The record is from the annotation of a GenBank genome assembly. Lineage: Eukaryota; Metazoa; Chordata; Amphibia; Anura; Pelobatidae.
CUGUGAUAUGUUUUAUAAUGUAUUUCUCUGCCUGUGAUAAUUAUAUUAACCAUUGUGUUCAGUAAUCAUAUCACAGGCAGAGGGGAGGAUUUUGUGUGGGAGUGUCUGUGUGUAUUGUACAGAUUGAUUGGUUGUAUUUCAAAACCCUGUGGGCAGUACUAAGUUUGUGAAUUGUGAAUAAAAGAGGCUGUAUGUGCCAGUACGGCCAGUUCUGCUUGACCUCAAAAUGAAGUGUCGUCUCGUUAUUGGGGGAAUUGUAUGCUGAUUGCCAGGAGUGUAAACUGAUUGUAUGCUUUUCCUGUUCAGCUGUUUACAACAUUCCUAUGCUUGAGAGCAUUCGUAUGCUUCUCCAGUUCGGUGGUUGUGGUGUCUGCUGCAGUGCUUGGAGUCCUCAGGAAGCGCUAGGAGCAUCCUUUAACGAAGGUACCCAGUCGGGGUGCCAGGUGAUCCGUUACAGUUAGCAUACCAAAUUCUGAUCCAG